AGUGAACGCUGGCGGUAGGCCUAACACAUGCAAGUCGAACGGCAGCACAGUAAGAGCUUGCUCUUACGGGUUGCGAGUGGCGGACGGGUGAGGAAUACAUCGGAAUCUACUUUUUCGGGGGGCAUAACGUAGGGAAACUUACGCUAAUACCGCAUACGACCUACGGGUGAAAGCAGGGGAUCGUCGGACCUUGCGCGAUUGAAUGAGCCGAUGUCGGAUUAGCUAGUUGGCGGGGUAAAGGCCCACCAAGGCGACGUUCCGUAGCUGGUCUGAGAGGAUGAUCAGCCACACUGGAACUGAGACACGGUCCAGACUCCUACGGGAGGCAGCCGUGGGGAAUAUUGGACCAUGGGCGCAAGCCUGAUCCAGACAUACCGCGUGGGUGAAGAAGGCCUUCGGGUUGUAAAGCCCUUUUGUCGGGAAAGAAAAGCAGCAGGUUAAUACCCAGCUGUUCUGACGGUAACCAAAGAAUAAACACCGGCUAACUUCGUG
Molecule: ribosomal RNA, 492 nt
Filed under: uncultured bacterium
Lineage: Bacteria
Description: partial 16S ribosomal RNA
Rfam family: Bacterial small subunit ribosomal RNA
Source: RNAcentral